Molecule: unclassified non-coding RNA, 873 nt
Filed under: Hevea brasiliensis (rubber tree)
Lineage: Eukaryota; Viridiplantae; Streptophyta; Magnoliopsida; Malpighiales; Euphorbiaceae
Source: RNAcentral
GGAUUAAUAUGUUUUAUUCAUUUCAUCAAAGUGGAUAAUUUUUUACAAGCCAACUUGCAAUUGCAGAAUGAACAAAUAUUGGUUAAAAUCUUCAAUCCUUUUUACAACCAUUUUCAGCAGCAACACAGCAGUGGAAAACCUUCAAGUCACAUUUAGGAGAAACCAAUUUCAGAAAGAUCCUAGCAGUGUCCUCUUGCCUUACCUUUGCCCCUUCCUUUUCCACCAAAGCCGCCGCCACUAUUCGCUCAUACCCACCACCUCCUUCAGCCACAAAAGCCACCAACGCCGCCUGCAUUGGUCCUAAACUUGGAUUAUAAGCAGCAGAUUCCACAUAAGAACCUUUAUAGAUCUUCCCAUCACAAUCCAUAAUUGCUACCCCUGAUGGACACUCACUGUAAGGUGCGUGUGAAUUAUUAGCACCUCCUAAAGCUGCAAUCCUUAAAAGGGUACUCUCUGUUUCUGUCAAUUUAUAAAACCCAUUACUCAGAUUUUUUCCCGAUUUCAAAUCGUCAUCUGAAAACCCAUUGCAUAGAUCUCCAACGUGAUUAAUCUCAUAGGACAGGAUUAAAUUGUUGUUAUGUCGCUCGAGGAGUAAAGGAGUUUCGUCAUCAAGGAGAUCGAAUGGACCAAAUGGAUUAGGGAGAAUCUCACGCAAAGGUUCGAAUAUGACAUCUGGAUUGUUUUGGUGUUGAGAUGUGAUAUGGAUUUGGAGAUCGGAAGAAUUACGGAGUUCUUGAAGGAACUGUCGGCAGUGGCCACAAGGGGCGGCGGAGACAGCAAAUGCAACGAGGCGGGGGCAGAGGUGAACAGCAAGGUUAGUGAUGAGAAACUGCUCAGCGUUAACCUUGAAUUUCCUGGAUUACCCCUUCAUCA